This 265-nucleotide unclassified non-coding RNA is filed under the name uncultured fungus. RNAcentral describes it as "sequence contains ITS1, 5.8S rRNA gene". The stretch from base 217 to 265 matches the Rfam family "5.8S ribosomal RNA", at positions 1 to 49 of the family's 154-position model. Lineage: Eukaryota; Fungi. The record is from RNAcentral.
UCUCCGUUGGUGAACCAGCGGAGGGAUCAUUAGAGAGUAUUACAACUCCCAAACCCAUGUGAACAUACCUAUCGUUGCCUCGGUGGAGAGGGGGGCUACCCGUCAGGGGCUACCCGGGUCGUCCGACCCGGCAGCUCCGGGUACCCCUCCCGCCGCCGGCGGCCAGCUAAACUCUGAUUUACCCUGUAACUCUGAAUAGCAAAACAAAUAAGUUAAAACUUUCAACAACGGAUCUCUUGGUUCUGGCAUCGAUGAAGAACGCAGC